AACGAACGCUGGCGGCAGGCCUAACACAUGCAAGUCGAACGAACCUUUCGGGGUUAGUGGCGGACGGGUGCGUAACACGUGGGAACGUGCCUUUAGGUUCGGAAUAACUCAGGGAAACUUGUGCUAAUACCGAAUGUGCCCUUCGGGGGAAAGAUUUAUCGCCUUUAGAGCGGCCCGCGUCUGAUUAGCUAGUUGGUUGAGGUAAUGGCUCACCAAGGCGACGAUCAGUAGCUGGUCUGAGAGGAUGAUCAGCCACAUUGGGACUGAGACACGGCCCAAACUCCUACGGGAGGCAGCAGUGGGGAAUCUUGCGCAAUGGGCGAAAGCCUGACGCAGCCAUGCCGCGUGAAUGAUGAAGGUCUUAGGAUUGUAAAAUUCUUUCACCGGGGACGAUAAUGACGGUACCCGGAGAAGAAGCCCCGGCUAACUUCGUG
Molecule: ribosomal RNA, 434 nt
Filed under: uncultured bacterium
Lineage: Bacteria
Description: partial 16S ribosomal RNA
Rfam family: Bacterial small subunit ribosomal RNA
Source: RNAcentral